GGUACUCAGUUCGGAUUGAAGGCUGAAAUUCGCCUUCCAUGAAGCUGGAAUUGCUAGUAAUGGCAGGUCAGCAUACUGCCGUGAAUACGUUCCCGGGCCUUGUACACACCGCCCGUCACACCAUGAGAGUUGGGAAUACCCGAAGCCUGUGAGCUAACUGUAAGGAGGCAGCAGUCGAAGGUAGAAUCAAUGAUUGGGGUGAAGUCGUAACAAGGUAGC
This 219-nucleotide ribosomal RNA is filed under the name uncultured bacterium. RNAcentral's name for it is "partial 16S ribosomal RNA". It matches the Rfam family "Bacterial small subunit ribosomal RNA", at positions 1283 to 1500 of the family's 1533-position model. The record is from RNAcentral.